Molecule: ribosomal RNA, 468 nt
Filed under: uncultured bacterium
Lineage: Bacteria
Description: partial 16S ribosomal RNA
Rfam family: Bacterial small subunit ribosomal RNA
Source: RNAcentral
GACGAACGCUGGCGGCGUGCUUAACACAUGCAAGUCGAACGGAGAGGCCCUGCUUUUGUGGGGUGCUCGAGUGGCGAACGGGUGAGUAACACGUGAGUAACCUGCCCUUGACUUUGGGAUAACUUCAGGAAACUGGGGCUAAUACCGGAUAGGAGCUCCUGCUGCAUGGUGGGGGUUGGAAAGUUUCGGCGGUUGGGGAUGGACUCGCGGCUUAUCAGCUUGUUGGUGGGGUAGUGGCUUACCAAGGCUUUGACGGGUAGCCGGCCUGAGAGGGUGACCGGCCACAUUGGGACUGAGAUACGGCCCAGCCUCCUACGGGAGGCAGCAGUGGGGAAUAUUGCACAAUGGGCGGAAGCCUGAUGCAGCGACGCCGCGUGCGGGAUGACGGCCUUCGGGUUGUAAACCGCUUUCGCCUGUGACGAAGCGUGAGUGACGGUAAUGGGUAAAGAAGCACCGGCUAACUACGUG